UAAAAUGAUAAUAGUAAUGGAAAAGCAUUGAUCAGAGUGGGCUGGAAGUGAUUCUGUAGGUGUUCAUCAGAGAGCUGAUCUCAAACGGCAGUGAUGCGCUGGAGAAACUGUGGCACAAGAUGAUGACAGCAGGAGGAGAUUCAGCAGCGAUGGAGAUUCACCUGCAGACGGAUGCAGCCAAAGGCACCUUCACCAUCCAGGACACCAGUGUUGGGAUGAAAAAAGAGGAGCAAACUCCAAAGUCUGCUACUACAGAAACUAAUCGGCUAACUAAUGCGAUGCACAGACACGGUCCGUAUCCUGGUUAAAAUGACUUAUUUCUCUGGAUUUAAACAUUCUUGGAAACAUCUGGGAUAAUAAUCCAUCCAUGUUUGACGUGAGUGGUGAGAUGGGAUCCAGUGUGUCUCUGUACAGCAGGAAGAUUCUGAUCCAAACCAAAGCCACAGACGUCCUUCCCAAGUGGCGGCGCUUCCUGUGAGGUGUUGUGGACAGUGAAGAUAUUCCUCUAAACCUCAGCAGAGAGCUGCUACAGGAAAGCGCCCUGAUCACGGAUAAACCUGCUGGAAAUAUGAUGUUAUGUCUUCUGCAUUGAGCAAAAAACAAGAGUAACAAAAAACAGUAUUUCUUACAAGCUACAACAAUCAAUACAGAAAUUGUUCACACAUUUUCAGGUUUAUACAUCAAAUGCUUAAUAUUACUAACACUAAAUCAUUUUACAUAUUUCCAAAUCCAAGUUAUUUCUAAGGAUGCUGAUUCUGAUCUCAUUAAAAAUCAUCACAGAUGUUCAGUGGAGAUUUUACACCAAUCAGGAUCUAAACUAACAAAUGGAUAAAGUUUCUCAUUAAAAGACUGGCCAGAUGUCUGAGCACUGCUAAAUCCACUCAGUUCGCUCCAUCACCUGAACUUCAUAGUAAAACACACUCUGGGAUCAUCCAUCCAUCGUCACCAUAAAGAUCAUUUUCAUCAAAUUUAUCAUCUUUACCUUCUUAUGGUUCUGUGUCGUCAUUCAUCACUUCUUCCUCAUCUUCAGGCCCAAUGAGACGUGAAUGAGCUGAAUCAGCAUCCAGAGUCACAUUCACUGUUAAAAUAUUGAACAUUUACAGAUGGGUAUAUAAUAAAAAAAUAAUAAUAUAUUUUUUGUAGUAUUUUGCCAGAAAUCCUGGUAACUUUACAGCAUUAAAUCUGCUUUGUUGUAUUAAGCUAAAAUAAUGUGAUGAAAUACUAUAGACCUAUACUACUGUAAUGCAGUUUACUUUUACAUAAACUAAACAAUUAUCAUGUCAUAUGGUAACUAACUUGAUUAAAUAACUUAAUUAUGAUACAAUUCUUGACACCCCAACAAGGACAUCACCAAUUUUGAACCCUGCUUGUGUUGAUUUUAUUUGUGUUGCUUUUCUUUAUAGAUAGUUACAUUUACAAGUUUAAAUGUAUAGUUUGUUGUUAUGGCACAUAUAAAAUAAAUAACAAUAAAUUAUUGAACUCAAAAAA
Long non-coding RNA from Ctenopharyngodon idella (grass carp), 1488 nucleotides. RefSeq lists it as uncharacterized. The transcript is spliced from 5 exons. NCBI's taxonomy places the organism in Eukaryota, Metazoa, Chordata, Actinopteri, Cypriniformes, Xenocyprididae. The record is from RefSeq and is a predicted model, not a curated record.